ACCGCGAUAGCUCAGCUGGUAGAGCAUCUGCCUGGUAUGCGGAGGGUCGCCGGUUCGAUUCCGGCUAGUGGCG
RNAcentral lists this transfer RNA (73 nucleotides) under Fasciola gigantica. It matches the Rfam family "tRNA". Rfam says of the family: Transfer RNA (tRNA) molecules are approximately 80 nucleotides in length. Their secondary structure includes four short double-helical elements and three loops (D, anti-codon, and T loops). The record is from Rfam by way of RNAcentral. Lineage: Eukaryota; Metazoa; Platyhelminthes; Trematoda; Plagiorchiida; Fasciolidae.